ACGGAAGGCAGCAGUCGGGAAUAUUGCGCAAUGGAGGCAACUCUGACGCAGUGACGCCGCGUAUAGGAAGAAGGUUUUCGGAUUGUAAACUAUUGUCGUUAGGGAAGAAAUUUGACAGUACCUAAGGAGGAAGCACCGGCUAACUAUGUGCCAGCAGCCGCGGUAAUACAUAGGGUGCAAGCGUUAUCCGGAUUUAUUGGGUGUGAAGGGUGCGUAGACGGGAAUUUAAGUUGGUUGUGAAAUCCCUUGGCUCAACUGAGGAACUGCAACCAAAACUGAAUUUCUUGAGUGUCGGAGGGGAAAGUGGAAUUCCUAGUGUAGCGGUGAAAUGCGUAGAUAUUAGGAGGAACACCAGUGGCGAAGGCGACUUUCUGGACGAUAACUGACGUUGAGGCUCGAAAGCGUGGGGAGCAAACAGGAUUAGAUACCCUGGUA
Molecule: ribosomal RNA, 435 nt
Filed under: uncultured Oscillospiraceae bacterium
Lineage: Bacteria; Bacillati; Bacillota; Clostridia; Eubacteriales; Oscillospiraceae
Description: partial 16S ribosomal RNA
Rfam family: Bacterial small subunit ribosomal RNA
Source: RNAcentral